This is a long non-coding RNA of Setaria italica (foxtail millet), 398 nucleotides long. RefSeq lists it as uncharacterized. The transcript is spliced from 2 exons. Lineage: Eukaryota; Viridiplantae; Streptophyta; Magnoliopsida; Poales; Poaceae. The record is from RefSeq and is a predicted model, not a curated record.
UAGGUUCGAUCCCCUCGACCGCCCGAUGCCGCCGGUGAGCCCCUACAACGAAUUGUGUUUGUACUGGUCCGUAAGAUGUCGUAUUCAAUUAGCCACUGGAAGGACCCAUCGCGUGAAGAACGGAGCUGCCGUAGUUUGGUAUUUGACCGCCAACUGCUGCCGAUUCCGCCGUUGUUCGUCGUCGAUAAUCUCCUCCAUGGCAGGCAGCUCACUCAUCAUCCCUUCAGCCUGCAAUUUUGUUCAUAUAUAUGUGCGUUUCAAUGGAGAAUUUGUUUGGUGAUACAAGUGAUACAACCUAUAUGUGCACUUAUGUUUCCCUGUGUACAUUUAACCGUGUAAUGUGUUGAAAUGCAUUUAAGUAUUAUCUAUAAUGAAUACAACCGAACCUUGUGUUUUUU